Molecule: small RNA, 26 nt
Filed under: Bombyx mori (domestic silkworm)
Lineage: Eukaryota; Metazoa; Arthropoda; Insecta; Lepidoptera; Bombycidae
Description: ovarian small RNA-17890
Source: RNAcentral
GUGCUGAGGCUCGCUGCCGGUUCUAA